AAGUCGUAACAAGGUUUCCGUAGGUGAACCUGCGGAAGGAUCAUUACCGAGUGAGGGCCCUCUGGGUCCAACCUCCCACCCGUGUUUAUUAUACCUUGUUGCUUUGGCGGGCCCGCCUCACGGCCGCCGGGGGGCUUCUGCCCCCGGGCCCGUGCCCGCCGAAGACACCUUAGAACUCUGUCUGAAGAUUGUAGUCUGAGUAAAAAUAUAAAUUAUUUAAAACUUUCAACAACGGAUCUCUUGGUUCCG
This 249-nucleotide unclassified non-coding RNA is filed under the name Penicillium sp. RNAcentral describes it as "partial contains small subunit ribosomal RNA, internal transcribed spacer 1, and 5.8S ribosomal RNA". The stretch from base 1 to 46 matches the Rfam family "Eukaryotic small subunit ribosomal RNA", at positions 1786 to 1831 of the family's 1831-position model. The record is from RNAcentral. RNAcentral also lists the same sequence under 1 other name. Lineage: Eukaryota; Fungi; Ascomycota; Eurotiomycetes; Eurotiales; Aspergillaceae.